AUGGAAAACUGGACUGAUGGUGUAGUUGGAAUGGUGCUCCCCAAAACUGGAAAAGAAGUUGUUUUGAAACUUAAACAAGGAGAUGUCAUACCUGUGCCUAUUGGAGCUAUUUCAUGGUGGUUCAAUGAUGGUCACUCAAACCUUAAUAUUAUAUUUCUUGGUGAAACUUCAACUGCUCAUGUUCCAGGACAAUUCACUUAUUUUUUUCUUAACUGGUCUUCAAGGACUUUUAGGAAGUUUCUCUAG
This is a non-coding RNA of Vicia faba (fava bean), 246 nucleotides long. NCBI's taxonomy places the organism in Eukaryota, Viridiplantae, Streptophyta, Magnoliopsida, Fabales, Fabaceae. The record is from the annotation of a GenBank genome assembly.